AUUGAACGCUGGCGGAAUGCUUUACACAUGCAAGUCGAACGGCAGCACGGGGGCAACCCUGGUGGCGAGUGGCGAACGGGUGAGUAAUCCAUCGGAACGUGCCCAGUCGUGGGGGAUAACGUAGCGAAAGUUACGCCAAUAACGCAUACGAUCUACGGAUGAAAGCGGGGGACCGUAAGGCCCCGCGCGAUUGGAGGGGCCGAUGUCAGAUGAGGGAUUUGGUGAGGUAAAGGCUCACCAAGCCGACGAUCUGUAGCUGGUCUGAGAGGACGACCAGCCACACUGGGACUGAGACACGGCCCAGACUCCUACGGGAGGCAGCAGUGGGGAAUUUUGGACAAUGGGCGCAAGCCUGAUCCAGCCAUUCCGCGUGCAGGACGAAGGCCUUCGGGUUGUAAACUGCUUUUGUACGGAACGAAAAGGCUCUGGUUAAUACCUGGGGCUCAUGACGGUACCGUAAGAAUAAGCACCGGCUAACUACGUGCCAGCCGCCGCCGUAA
Molecule: ribosomal RNA, 500 nt
Filed under: uncultured bacterium
Lineage: Bacteria
Description: partial 16S ribosomal RNA
Rfam family: Bacterial small subunit ribosomal RNA
Source: RNAcentral